UUUUUUUUUUUUUUUUUUUUUUUUCCUGCAGGGGCCUGUAAAGGGAAUUCCUGCAUCGCUCUAACCAUGCACACCCUUGGACUUAGCUUUUACCUGUAACUGGCUUCUGAGAGACAAAGAGGAGAAACCUUCACUCCUAGUACACCUAUUACAGCUGCAGAGGCGGAGGAGACAGUUGCGGAACUAGUUACAAUGAUGAUAAGAAACAAUACUUUGUUAUUCCAUAGCACUUUUAAUGUUCAUGUGUAUUAUCUCAGCUAGCCUUGAACCGCCUAAGUAAGGUGAUGAGGACGGGUUUAAGCCCCACUGAUAUUUUAAAAGCCCAGAGAAAAGUGUUUGUUCCUCUACUAACCUGUUCUUUUAGAGCAGGGAUCUGCAUAUUAAGCCUGCAGCCAAAAUGAGUAGGUAGCCCACUACCUAUUUUUGUAUAGCCAGAGGGCUAAGAAUGGUUUUUACAUUUUAAGUGGUUUUACAUUUUAAGAUCAAAAGAAGGAUAAUAUUUCAUGACAAGUAAAAAUUAUAUGAACUCAAAAUUGUAUGAAUUUUAUGAAUUUAAAUUUCCGUACUCAUAACUAAAGUUUUAUUGAACUACAGCCACAUUCAUUUAUUUACAUGCUAUCUAUGGCUGCUUUCUUGCUACAAACGCAAACUGGAGAAUGUACCUGGCCUGCAAAGUCAAAGUAUUUACUAUCUGGCCCUUCACAAACAAAGUUUGCCAACCUUAUUUUAGGGACACCACUGUCUUUCCUUUCUCAAAACCAGGCAAUGAGCCUUCUGGUGUUUAGAGAACAGAAACUGCAGCUAUGCCUGUACCACUGGUUGAUAAUCCUAGUAAUGAACUAGAUCCCCUCACUGGCUUGUGCCAGCUCCUCAUUCUUCUGGGAAAACUCUCCAACGCCGGCCCACUGUUUUCCAACAACAUACAAACUCUUAACCCAUUAUCUCCCCAUUAGAGUGUGCCUUCUCUUCAGGCAGGAAUAAAGACGUAUAGCUGCCCGUCCCCACCCCCGCAUUCCCUUUCCCGCAAUUCUAACUGACAAACAGCAGGCAACUUAUCUAUGGAACAAACGAUUCUGUAGUGCUUAGAAUGUGACAGGCUCGUUUAAUUCUCAUUGCAGCCCUAUGAGGCUGGCACUAUUAUCAUCACCAUCCUCAUUUUAUAGAGUAGGAACCAGAGGCACAGACAGGCUGAGCCACCUGUCCCAGGUCCUGCCAAGUGGUGCCUCCCAGCGGUGGAGGCAGCACUGGAAUCCGUGCCGCCAAGCUCCUCGGGUUGGGUGACAUGGAGAUUCCCGUUAAAAACAGAUUUCCCACAAGACCGAUUGGAGCACCGAUCGGAGCACCUGUCCGGGCCACACAUUUCCUCCUGGAACACAGCAAGUGUCCCCUAAAUUACCCGAUUGAGCAUCUGUUCCUGGCACGAGAGGCAGGGAGGCCAAAGGGCCGCCAAGCUGGCCUGGGAGAGGCGU
This 1469-nucleotide long non-coding RNA is filed under the name Macaca fascicularis (crab-eating macaque). RNAcentral's name for it is "lncRNA (ENSMFAG00000055716.1)". The record is from RNAcentral. Lineage: Eukaryota; Metazoa; Chordata; Mammalia; Primates; Cercopithecidae.